GUUCCUUUAUCGCAAUGGAUAGCGUGUUGGAUCUCUAAUCCAAAGGUCGUGGUCUUCAGUCCCACGUGAGAUG
Non-coding RNA from Trichonephila inaurata madagascariensis, 73 nucleotides. Lineage: Eukaryota; Metazoa; Arthropoda; Arachnida; Araneae; Nephilidae. The record is from the annotation of a GenBank genome assembly.